CCUACGGGAGGCAGCAGUGGGGGAUAUUGCACAAUGGGGGAAACCCUGAUGCAGCGACGCCGCGUGAGUGAAGAAGUAUUUCGGUAUGUAAAGCUCUAUCAGCAGGGAAGAAAAUGACAGUACCUGACCAAGAAGCCCCGGCUAACUACGUGCCAGCAGCCGCGGUAAUACGUAGGGGGCAAGCGUUAUCCGGAUUUACUGGGUGUAAAGGGAGCGUAGACGGUUAUGUAAGUCUGGAGUGAAAGCCCGGGGCCCAACCCCGGGACUGCUUUGGAAACUGUGUAACUGGAGUACAGGAGGGGCAGGCGGAAUUCCUGGUGUAGCGGUGAAAUGCUUAGAUAUUGCGCAGAACUCCGAUUGCGAAGGCAGCAUACCGGCGGCGAUCUGACGCUGAGGCACGAAAGCGUGGGUAUCGAACAGGAUUAGAUACCCCUGUAGUC
This 440-nucleotide ribosomal RNA is filed under the name uncultured bacterium. RNAcentral's name for it is "partial 16S ribosomal RNA". It matches the Rfam family "Bacterial small subunit ribosomal RNA", at positions 338 to 795 of the family's 1533-position model. The record is from RNAcentral.